Cyanistes caeruleus (blue tit) is the source of this 296-nucleotide non-coding RNA. The record is from RefSeq and is a predicted model, not a curated record. NCBI's taxonomy places the organism in Eukaryota, Metazoa, Chordata, Aves, Passeriformes, Paridae.
CCAACCACGACUCCCAUCUAAUUACCCUGUUUCCUCUGAGCUGAUUGGAAAGUGGCCUUGUGUCUGGAAAAGGCAAUCUCCAAACUCUUGAAAGUUCAGAUCGGUCUCGAUCAACUCAUUUUUGUUGUGCUCAGUAUGCUUUGCCUCAAGUCAAAAGCCCCUGGCGACAAACAGACACCUUCUUCACAGUCAGAUGUGCAGGGAUACACUGUGCUGCUCCACAUCCCUACAAACUACUAUGUGCCCAUUCUCAGUGUAAGAUUUUCUACUGGUGUUUGGAAAAGCAUACCUGCUGA